UACGAAGGGGGCUAGCGUUGUUCGGAAUUACUGGGCGUAAAGCGCACGUAGGCGGGUCGUUAAGUCAGGGGUGAAAUCCCGGAGCUCAACUCCGGAACUGCCUUUGAUACUGGCGACCUUGAGAUCGAGAGAGGUGAGUGGAAUUCCGAGUGUAGAGGUGAAAUUCGUAGAUAUUCGGAAGAACACCAGUGGCGAAGGCGGCUCACUGGCUCGAUACUGACGCUGAGGUGCGAAAGCGUGGGGAGCAAACAGG
Molecule: ribosomal RNA, 253 nt
Filed under: uncultured bacterium
Lineage: Bacteria
Description: partial 16S ribosomal RNA
Rfam family: Bacterial small subunit ribosomal RNA
Source: RNAcentral